This 503-nucleotide ribosomal RNA is filed under the name uncultured bacterium. Its description in RNAcentral is "partial 16S ribosomal RNA". It matches the Rfam family "Bacterial small subunit ribosomal RNA", at positions 30 to 507 of the family's 1533-position model. The record is from RNAcentral.
CGAACGCUGGCGGCGUGCCUAAUACAUGCAAGUAGAACGCACAGUUUAUACCGUAGCUUGCUACACCAUAAACUGUGAGUUGCGAACGGGUGAGUAACGCGUAGGUAACCUGCCUGGUAGCGGGGGAUAACUAUUGGAAACGAUAGCUAAUACCGCAUAAUAUUGAUUAUUGCAUGAUAAUUGAUUGAAAGAUGCUAUUGCAUCACUACCAGAUGGACCUGCGUUGUAUUAGCUAGUAGGUGAGGUAACGGCUCACCUAGGCGACGAUACAUAGCCGACCUGAGAGGGUGAUCGGCCACACUGGGACUGAGACACGGCCCAGACUCCUACGGGAGGCAGCAGUAGGGAAUCUUCGGCAAUGGACGAAAGUCUGACCGAGCAACGCCGCGUGAGUGAAGAAGGUUUUCGGAUCGUAAAGCUCUGUUGUAAGAGAAGAACGGGUGUGAGAGUGGAAAGUUCACACUGUGACGGUAGCUUACCAGAAAGGGACGGCUAACUACGUG